GCCCUGAGGGAUAGCUCGGUGGGUAGAGCAUGGGACUCUUAACCUCAGGGUUGUGGGUUUGAGCCCCACAUUGGGUG
RNAcentral lists this transfer RNA (77 nucleotides) under Podarcis lilfordi (Lilford's wall lizard). RNAcentral describes it as "tRNA.Lys". The stretch from base 12 to 69 matches the Rfam family "tRNA", at positions 8 to 63 of the family's 71-position model. From Rfam's summary of the family: Transfer RNA (tRNA) molecules are approximately 80 nucleotides in length. Their secondary structure includes four short double-helical elements and three loops (D, anti-codon, and T loops). Lineage: Eukaryota; Metazoa; Chordata; Lepidosauria; Squamata; Lacertidae. The record is from RNAcentral.